ACGUAGCCACUCACCAGCUAGUCGCAGAGAAAUAUAAUUAGGUUACAUUGGCAACAAUAGAAGAGAGAAUUUUAAUUUGCUAAGAGAUGUCGUCGCCACCUGCAGCUUUCUCCAAUGAAGGCGAUGAGCAGCCACAGCGAAGGGCUCCUACAAGCUUCCACCCCUCUGGGGCAAUUUCUUCCUCAGUUACCAGCCACCUACUGCGCCUAAGCAUGCUUACAUGAAAGAACGGGUUCAAGUUGUGAAAGAAGAAGUUAGGAAGGUAGUAAAGGGCUCGAGUGAAGUACCAGAGAUAUUGGAUCUUGUGAUCACGCUGCAACGGCUUGGAUUGGAUAGUUACUACGAGACUGAGAUAAACGACCUUCUCUGCAUUGUUUACAACACCGACUACAACGAUAAAGAUUUACACCUAGUUUCUCUUCGAUUUUAUCUUCUACGAAAGAACGGCUAUGAUGUGUCAUCUGAUAUGUUUCAACAUUUUAAAGACAAAGAGGGGAGUUUUGUUGCUGAUGAUGUAAGAAGUCUUUUGAGCUUAUAUAAUGCGGCAUUUCUGAGGACUCAUGGUGAAAAAGUACUUGAUGAAGCAAUUGUUUUUACAACUAACCGCCUUAGAUCCGAAUUGGAACAUUUGAAAUCUCCGGCAGCUGAUGAAGUGUCUCUUGCUCUUAAUACACCCCUGUUCCGGAGGGUUAGAAUAUUAGAAAUACGAAACUAUAUUCCUAUUUAUGAAAGUGCUACUACACGAAACGAAUCCAUAUUAGAAUUUGCAAAGUUGAAUUUCAAUCUCCUUCAACUUAUUUAUUGUGAGGAGCUAAAAUCUAUCACAGGAUGGUGGAAAGAGCUUAAUGUUGAAUCAAACUUAAGCUUCAUUCGGGAUAGAAUAGUGGAAAUGCAUUUUUGGAUGAUAGGAGCAUGCUCGGAGCCCCAUUAUUCUCUUUCACGAAUUAUACUUACAAAGAUGAUAGCAUUUAUCACCAUACUAGAUGAUAUAUUUGACACAUAUGCUACAACCGAGGAGAGCAUGAUGCUUGCCAAAGCGAUAUAUAUGUGCAAUGAAACUGCAACAGUGCUACUUCCAAAAUACAUGAAGGAUUUCUACUUAUAUUAUUUAAAGACAUUUGAUUCAUUUGAAGAAGCACUAUGUCCAAACAAAAGUUAUCGAGUGUGUUAUCUCAAAGAGUUGUUCAAGAGGUUAGUUCAAGAAUUCUCUCAAGAGAUAAAAUGGCGUGAUGAUCAUUACAUUCCAAAAACAAUAGAGGAACACCUGGAACUUUCAAGAAAGACUGUUGGUGCCUUUGAACUAGCAUGUGCUUCUUUUGUUGGGAUGGGCGACCUUGUAGCAAAGGAAACUCUUGAUUGCCUUUUGACUUAUCCAGAACUUCUUAAGUCUUUCACAACAUGUGUACGGCUCUCAAAUGAUAUUGCUUCAACAAAGCGUGAACAAGCAGGGGACCACCACCAUGCUUCUACAAUUCAGAGUUAUAUGCUCCAACAUGGUGCAACAGCGCAUGAAGCAUGCGUUGGGAUAAAGGAGUUGAUAGAAGACUCAUGGAAGGAUAUGAUGAAAGAAUACCUUACACCAACAGACCUGCAACCAAAAAUCGUGGCAAGAACGGUUAUUGAUUUUGCGCGAACGGGUGAUUAUAUGUACAAGCAAGUUGAUUCAUUCACUAUUUCACAUACAAUCAAGGAUAUGAUAGCAUCGCUCUAUAUGGAGCCGUAUAACAUUUAAAUCAAAACAUGUAUUUACAUUAUAAAUAUUAUAUUAUCCAAUAUAGAGUUUCAAAUUGUAAUAUAUAUUCACUAGCUUUCAAUAAUGUGUUGGUGGCUGUUGAUCACCAAAUAAUCAUUACUUUCAGCCUCAUUAGAAAGUUUCCAUGGUUAAACUAAGAAAUGUUUUCCUUAGCUUGUUGUCACAAUAUUAUGUGCAAUAUACUAAGUCCAUAUGAUCUUGUUCUGUCCCCCAACUAUUUAUAUAUAUUUUAGUUAAUUGGA
This is an RNA transcript of Oryza sativa Japonica Group (Japanese rice), 1995 nucleotides long. It is a transcript of the gene named zingiberene synthase-like, with no coding region annotated. The record is from RefSeq and is a predicted model, not a curated record. Lineage: Eukaryota; Viridiplantae; Streptophyta; Magnoliopsida; Poales; Poaceae.